GCUGCCCUCUUUUUGUCUCUUUUUUUUGGCUAAAAGGAUUGAAUUCGCUGUACCGUAGGGGUGGGAGCACCAGAAUCCACGUGGUGGUUUGAGUCUUUGCAGAGCACACCCCAGAGCUGCUGGGGGGCAGGGCUGGCUUGGCCCUUCCUCUCUCAGAGGCUUUGCCUUAAUUUUGCUGCUCUUUGGAGCCCUCCUGGCUCACAGUGGCUGGGAGAGCCCCGGAAGAACCAUCAUAGAACCAUCCUGGAGACAUCCUGGAACCAUCCUGGCACCAUCCAGGUUCACAGAUGGAGCUCUGCCUCUUUCCUGGCUGGGAGAGCCCCAGAAGAACCAUCCUGGAGCUAUCCUGGAGACAUCCUGGAGCCAUCCUGGAGCUGUCCUGGCUCAGAAGUGGAGCUCUGCCUCUUUCCUGGCUGGGAGAGCCCCAGAAGAACCAUCCUGGAAUCAUCCUGUGACCAUCCUGGAGCUAUCCUGGCACCAUCCUGGCACCAUCCAGGCUCACAGGUGGAGCUCUGCCUCCUUGCUGGCUGGGAGAGCCCCCGAGGAGCAGAGGGGGCUCGGGGGAGGCACCUGGAGGAGAGCAGAGGGCAGGGCUGGGGGGUGGGAAGGGAUUUCAGGGCUUGGGGUCACAGAGACUGAGGCAGCUGGGCAGGAGAGUGAUCCCAGAUAUGGAAAGUGAUCCCAGAUCUCACAGGUGUGAUCCCAGGCCUGGAAAUUGUCAUCUCAGACCUGGAAAUUGUGAUCCCACAUCUGAAAAGUGAUCCCUGAUCUGGCAGGUGUGAUCCCAGAUAUGGAAAGUGUGAUCUCAGAUCUGGAAAUUGUGAUUCUAGGUUUGGAAAGUGUGAUCCCAGCUCUGACAGGUGUGAUCCCAGAUCUGAAAUUGUGAUCCCAGAUCUGAAAUUGUGACCCCAGCUCUCACAGGUGUGAUCCCAGAUCUGAGACUGUGAUCCCAGCUCUCACAGGUGUGAUCCCAGAUCUGAAAUUGUGAUCCCAGAUCUGAAAUGGUGACCCCAGCUCUCACAGGUGUGGCCCCAGCUCUGCAGGCAUGCUCAGGUGUGUGCUUUAGAGCUUCAAAGUGCUGACAUUGGCUGAGAUGAAACAAAUUCCAGGUCUGAGGUGCUGUUGGGCCGAGCUGCCUGGGAUGUGUCCCUGGCUCAACUCACAGGGGACAGCGUGUCCAGAGGGGUGGGACAGCCUGGGCAGUGUGUGAAACACCUUUGGGUGCUUUGGGGGCAGAGCCCCACCUCAGCUGGGGGAGCUUGGCUGAGCUUGGCCAGGGGGACAAAACCAGAGGGGCCUGACUGGAUUUGGUCAGGAGGAUAAAACCAGAAAGACUUGACUGAAUUUGGCCAGGGGGACAAAACCAGAGGGGCAAAACCAGAGGGGCUUGGCUGAAUUUUGCCAGAGGGAUAAAACCAGAAGGAUUUGGCUGAGCUUGACCAGAGGGAUAAAACCAGAAAGACUUGACUGAAUUUGGCCAGGGGGACAAAACCAGAGGGGCUUGGCCAGAAGGACACAACCAGAAGGAUUGGGCUGAGCUUGACCAGAGGGGUUUGGCUGAAUUUAACCAGAGGG
Pyrgilauda ruficollis (rufous-necked snowfinch) is the source of this 1575-nucleotide long non-coding RNA. RefSeq lists it as uncharacterized. The transcript has 2 exons. The record is from RefSeq and is a predicted model, not a curated record. NCBI's taxonomy places the organism in Eukaryota, Metazoa, Chordata, Aves, Passeriformes, Passeridae.